RNAcentral lists this transfer RNA (72 nucleotides) under Thelephora aurantiotincta. RNAcentral describes it as "tRNA-Lys". It matches the Rfam family "tRNA". Rfam says of the family: Transfer RNA (tRNA) molecules are approximately 80 nucleotides in length. Their secondary structure includes four short double-helical elements and three loops (D, anti-codon, and T loops). Lineage: Eukaryota; Fungi; Basidiomycota; Agaricomycetes; Thelephorales; Thelephoraceae. The record is from RNAcentral.
GGAAGCAGAACUCGAGUGGUGGAGUGUCUCCCUUUUAAGGAGAAAGAUCUGGUUCAAGUCCAGGUGCUUUCA